RNAcentral lists this transfer RNA (93 nucleotides) under Bacillus cereus. RNAcentral's name for it is "tRNA-Ser". It matches the Rfam family "tRNA". From Rfam's summary of the family: Transfer RNA (tRNA) molecules are approximately 80 nucleotides in length. Their secondary structure includes four short double-helical elements and three loops (D, anti-codon, and T loops). Lineage: Bacteria; Bacillati; Bacillota; Bacilli; Caryophanales; Bacillaceae. RNAcentral also lists the same sequence under 1 other name. The record is from RNAcentral.
GGAGGGUUACUCAAGCGGUUAAGAGGCGUGAUUGGAAAUCACGUAGAGGGGGCGAAAGCUCCUACGUGGGUUCGAAUCCCACACCCUCCGCCA